UUGAUGAAGAGAUGAUGCUCGCAGUGCAGAACUGUCUAUAAAAACUCCAGCAUUCGUGAAACAGAAGAGAGUGUUCGCAAGUCUUUCUGCGCAGACCACACCAACAGUCCUCAAAGAAGUGAAUGCGGGUCCUGGCCCUCAGGUGUCCAGACGAGCCCCCAGACAGAAGCGUCAAACAGGGACCGAUGUCCUUCCCAAAAGUUACGUCAUGAGCAUCUUCAAGCACUUCGCCAAGACCAAGGUGGCCAGUGAUGUCUAUCCUGUCAUUAAUGAGAUUCUGAAGAAGUAUUUCGAUCGGCUAGCAGAUGAUCUAGAAACGUACGCUACUCAUGCCAAACGGAAAGACUAUUGAGGUUGAGGAUUUGAGCUCCUCAUGAGAAGACAGGGCUUUGUGACAGACAGCACGCCUGUAAAUGUGCUGAUAGAGAAGUAUCUCCCGCUGGAGUAUCGCAAACUUCUCAUCCCAGUGGCCACCAGUGGAAAUAAAGUCAUCCCGACACAAAGAAGGUGAACAUGCAAGAUGACUUGUAUGUGCUCUUGUAAAUAUGUGCAUAUGUUUAAAACAAUACAAAUACCUUUUGUAAAUUAUAAUUGUGUAAUAUAUAUGUUUCUUCCCACACCAUUAAGAAAACAAAACCCUUUUCUUUGUAUUUUUAGCUAUUAAUGUAUAUUUUCAUAAGCAGUUUUUAAAUGACAGACAUUAAAAACCACACAGAAUUUAAACUGAGGGCAUUGUCUUGUUUUGCAUGACU
This is a long non-coding RNA of Danio aesculapii, 752 nucleotides long. RefSeq lists it as uncharacterized. The transcript has 5 exons. The record is from RefSeq and is a predicted model, not a curated record. NCBI's taxonomy places the organism in Eukaryota, Metazoa, Chordata, Actinopteri, Cypriniformes, Danionidae.